CCUGGCUCAGUAUGAACGCUAGCGACAGGCUUAACACAUGCAAGUCGAGGGGCAGCGGGGGUAGCAAUACCCGCCGGCGACCGGCGCACGGGUGAGUAACGCGUAUGCAACUUACCUAUCAGAGGGGGAUAACCCGGCGAAAGUCGGACUAAUACCGCAUGAAGCAGGGGCCCCGCAUGGGGAUAUUUGCUAAAGAUUCAUCGCUGAUAGAUAGGCAUGCGUUCCAUUAGGCAGUUGGCGGGGUAACGGCCCACCAAACCGACGAUGGAUAGGGGUUCUGAGAGGAAGGUCCCCCACAUUGGUACUGAGACACGGACCAAACUCCUACGGGAGGCAGCAGUGAGGAAUAUUGGUCAAUGGGCGUAAGCCUGAACCAGCCAAGUCGCGUGAGGGAUGAAGGUUCUAUGGAUCGUAAACCUCUUUUAUAAGGGAAUAAAGUGUAGGACGUGUCUAUUUUGUAUGUACCUUAUGAAUAAGGAUCGGCUAACUCCGUGCCAGCAGCCGCGGUAAUACGGAGGAUCCGAGCGUUAUCCGGAUUUAUUGGGUUUAAAGGGUGCGUAGGCGGCCUUUUAAAUCAGCGGUGAAAGUCUGUGGCUCAACCAUAGAAUUGCCGUUGAAACUGGGAGGCCUGAGUAUGUUUGAGCAGGCGGAAUGCGUGGUGUACCGGUGAAAUGCUUAGAUAUCACGCAGAACCCCGAUUGCGAAGGCAGCCUGCCAAGCCAUGACUGACGCUGAUGCACGAAAGCGUGGGGAUCAAACAGGAUUAGAUACCCUGGUAGUCCACGCAGUAAACGAUGAUCACUAGCUGUUUGCGAUACAGUGUAAGCGGCACAGCGAAAGCGUUAAGUGAUCCACCUGGGGAGUACGCCGGCAACGGUGAAACUCAAAGGAAUUGACGGGGGCCCGCACAAGCGGAGGAACAUGUGGUUUAAUUCGAUGAUACGCGAGGAACCUUACCCGGGUUUGAACGCAUUCGGACCGAGGUGGAAACACCUUUUCUAGCAAUAGCCGUUUGCGAGGUGCUGCAUGGUUGUCGUCAGCUCGUGCCGUGAGGUGUCGGCUUAAGUGCCAUAACGAGCGCAACCCUUGCCACUAGUUACUAACAGGUGAUGCUGAGGACUCUGGUGGGACUGCCAGCGUAAGCUGCGAGGAAGGCGGGGAUGACGUCAAAUCAGCACGGCCCUUACAUCCGGGGCGACACACGUGUUACAAUGGCGUGGACAAAGGGAGGCCACCUGGCGACAGGGAGCGAAUCCCCAAACCACGUCUCAGUUCGGAUCGGAGUCUGCAACCCGACUCCGUGAAGCUGGAUUCGCUAGUAAUCGCGCAUCAGCCAUGGCGCGGUGAAUACGUUCCCGGGCCUUGUACACACCG
This 1374-nucleotide ribosomal RNA is filed under the name uncultured bacterium. RNAcentral's name for it is "16S ribosomal RNA". It matches the Rfam family "Bacterial small subunit ribosomal RNA", at positions 18 to 1392 of the family's 1533-position model. The record is from RNAcentral.